AACUGUGUGCGGUGAAUCACACGGCUCGUGCGUAGAUGAAGAGUGCAGCUAACUGUGCGAAUUAGUGUGAUUUGCAGACUGCUUUGAACAUCGAAAUCUUAAACGCAUAUUGCGGCCAAAGGCUUGCCUGUGGCCACGUCUGUCCAAACGUUG
This 153-nucleotide ribosomal RNA is filed under the name Taenia asiatica. RNAcentral's name for it is "5.8S ribosomal RNA". It matches the Rfam family "5.8S ribosomal RNA". Rfam says of the family: 5.8S ribosomal RNA (5.8S rRNA) is a component of the large subunit of the eukaryotic ribosome. The record is from Rfam by way of RNAcentral. Lineage: Eukaryota; Metazoa; Platyhelminthes; Cestoda; Cyclophyllidea; Taeniidae.